AGAGCACCCUCGUGAAGCGGCUGUUUGUCUCAUCUUUUACCGAAAGGCGCGAGAGAACGGUGUGCGGGUCCAGGGUAGCGGUUACGAUUCAGUAGGGAUGUCGGUAUCUACGAUAAUGUGACAGCCGGGAGAAGACACAGGGGGAUACCACAUCUCGGAACGGGAGAGAACGCGGAUGCCGCUCAACGUUGUCGUUUCUUCAGAGAAGUCUUCUGAUCUGUCAGCACCAGAAAGAUCCGAGAAAUGCCGUCAGAACCGUCCAUCACCGGAGACAGCAGAAUGUUGUUCAUUUCCCUGCUCAGACAGUGCAACACGAUACAGAUGAAGACGGUCGUCUCCAAACGCUGGAAUCCAAACAAAUAUUCACAGAUACUUAUAUAUAUUUAUGUGGAUGUGUUGAUUUUUGCGCAUCUUACUCUUUGAAAGGACAUUUAUGAACCGCCACCCUGGUGUCUAUUGGAGUUUAGAUCUGGCAGCCGAUCCGUGCCGUGGACCAAUUUUGUAAUGGCCCGCUGCUAUCAAAGUGGAGCAUGCCGCCGGGAAGGAAAGACAUUCACAAUAUAUGCAGAGAGUCCUCGUCGAAGACACUCGAUCAGGACACUGGCGAAAAUGGGAUCUGAGACUGUAGGCAGCGCGUGCGCAGACGAGUGAAACUGUCUCGAGAGAAUGUGGUGAUGCACCGUGUUUGUCAUGGUCAGUUGGCGGCAUCAUUGAAAGGGCAGAUCUCGAGGAUCUGCUUUGAUGUCCUGUGACACUGUGAACUCUUUUACGCGGCUUCGGGGUCUUGAAAACCAGACAGCGAGAAGCGAACUGGGAGCUUUUCCGUCGGAUCCCCAUACGCAGAGAGC
RNAcentral lists this long non-coding RNA (848 nucleotides) under Toxoplasma gondii VEG. The record is from RNAcentral. Lineage: Eukaryota; Apicomplexa; Conoidasida; Eucoccidiorida; Sarcocystidae.